RNAcentral lists this ribosomal RNA (443 nucleotides) under uncultured prokaryote. Its description in RNAcentral is "bacterial SSU rRNA". It matches the Rfam family "Bacterial small subunit ribosomal RNA", at positions 355 to 796 of the family's 1533-position model. The record is from RNAcentral.
UAGGGAAUAUUGGUCAAUGGGUGAGAGCCUGAACCAGCCAUGCCGCGUGCAGGAAGAAUGCGUUCUGCGUUGUAAACUGCUUUUGAUCGGGAAGAAAGGGUCUUUGCGAAGGCCGUUGACGGUACCGAUAGAAUAAGCACCGGCUAACUCCGUGCCAGCAGCCGCGGUAAUACGGAGGGUGCAAGCGUUGUCCGGAUUUAUUGGGUUUAAAGGGUGCGUAGGCGGAUUGGUAAGUCAGUGGUGAAAGGCAGCGGCUCAACCGUUGAGUUGCCAUUGAUACUGUCAGUCUUGAGUGCACUAAAGGUAAGCGGAAUUUAUGGUGUAGCGGUGAAAUGCAUAGAUACCAUAAAGAACACCAAUAGCGAAGGCAGCUUACUGGAGUGUAACUGACGCUGAGGCACGAAAGCGUGGGGAGCGAACAGGAUUAGAUACCCCCGUAGUCC